This 76-nucleotide transfer RNA is filed under the name bacterium. Its description in RNAcentral is "tRNA-Val". It matches the Rfam family "tRNA". From Rfam's summary of the family: Transfer RNA (tRNA) molecules are approximately 80 nucleotides in length. Their secondary structure includes four short double-helical elements and three loops (D, anti-codon, and T loops). Further hydrogen bonds mediate the characteristic L-shaped molecular structure. tRNAs have two regions of fundamental functional importance: the anti-codon, which is responsible for specific mRNA codon recognition, and the 3' end, to which the tRNAs corresponding amino acid is attached (by aminoacyl-tRNA synthetases). tRNAs cope with the degeneracy of the genetic code in two manners: having more than one tRNA (with a specific anti-codon) for a particular amino acid; and 'wobble' base-pairing, i.e. permitting non-standard base-pairing at the 3rd anti-codon position. The record is from RNAcentral.
GGGCGGUUGGCUCAGCGGUUAGAGCGCUUGCUUCACACGCAAGAGGUCGCAGGUUCAAUUCCUGCACCGCCCACGA